AAAGUUCAUCCAUAUUGUAGCACAUACGAGAAGAUGACUUUUUAAAAAGUUUUUAAUUAAAACAUAACAUAAAAAGUGAAAAGUGCAUAACUUGCUCACAACCUGAACACAUCAGGACCCAGGGAGUCAAGAGAUGAUGACUGAUGACUCAGCCUCCUCAGCUCGGCUUCCCAGAGCUCCACUCACCACAUCAGUGAGCCUGGCAUGCAGGGGGAGACAUAAACACAACCAUGGUGUUGAUAUCAAUCCUAGCAGAGAUGUCACAAGCCAAGGUCUGGGAAGAGGAAGAAUGAAUCAGGAUAAAACUUCAGUGGAAAAAAGACCAAGUGAGAGACUUAAAAGUCACGACUAAAGAAUUGUGCUGCUUAUUGCUGUUGAGUUCCCCUCUGCUCCCACAGAAGACAAGGAGAAGGAAUGUCACAGGGGCUUGAGUAUCCCUCUAGGGAAGAGUGGCUGGAACACCUAAUGUGAAAGUUUGGGGAAUCUUUGGCUGCUGAGGUUUGGAGAUUGGGAGAGCUCAGAGGGAUGAUGAUAUAACAUUGGAGAAAGGAUGUUGGAACCUCACCCACCUGUGUUUGCCUUCCCAUGCAACUGGAGCAGUGGAAGUUAGAAAGUAGGGUAUGAAAAACGACUGGAAGCAGAGAUCCUCUCCCACAGAGGGGUAGAAUUGGAAGACGCACUCAGAAAGCCUUACGGCCAACCUCCUCAGUUUUCAUACAGGCAAACUAAAUAUUACAGAUGGGAAAAUGGACCUUAGAGAUGACUGAACUCAAAGUCUUCAUUCUACUAAGGAGAAGAUGGGCCUGAGGUGCUCACUCUGAUGGAAGCCAGCUGCUAUGCUGUGUGUUGCUCUAUGGAGAGACUCAGGUAGAAGGAAUUGAAGGAGGCUUUCGGCCAACAGUCAGCAAGGUACUGAGGCUUUCAGUCCAAGAGCCUAUAAGGAACUGAAUCCUACCAGCAACCAAGCAAGUGGCUUGAAAAUGGACCCUCUCUCAGCUGAGUCUUUGAAUAAGAUCACAGCUCUUAUUCAAUAUGACACCUUGAUUGUAGUCUUGUUAGAGAUCUUGAGCCAGUGGCACCCAGCUAAGCUGUACCUGUAUUCCUGACCCAUAA
Molecule: long non-coding RNA, 1113 nt
Filed under: Homo sapiens (human)
Lineage: Eukaryota; Metazoa; Chordata; Mammalia; Primates; Hominidae
Description: HSALNT0357992
Source: RNAcentral